Molecule: unclassified non-coding RNA, 60 nt
Filed under: synthetic construct
Source: RNAcentral
GACGUAUAACAGAGACAGCGCGAGAAUUGUCAGGGGAUGCGAGUCUGCUGCGUUCUCACU